This 900-nucleotide ribosomal RNA is filed under the name Fructilactobacillus sanfranciscensis. RNAcentral describes it as "bacterial SSU rRNA". It matches the Rfam family "Bacterial small subunit ribosomal RNA", at positions 74 to 962 of the family's 1533-position model. The record is from RNAcentral. Lineage: Bacteria; Bacillati; Bacillota; Bacilli; Lactobacillales; Lactobacillaceae.
UGAUUUUGGAUCCGACUGAGUGGCGAACUGGUGAGUAACACGUGGGUAACCUGCCCAGAAGAAGGGGAUAACACCUGGAAACAGAUGCUAAUACCGUAUAACAACAAGAACCACAUGGUUCUUGUUUGAAAGCUGGCCUUUGUGCUAGUGCUUCUGGAUGGACCCGCGGCGUAUUAGCUAGUUGGUGAGAUAAUAGCUCACCAAGGCAAUGAUACGUAGCAGACCUGAGAGGGUAAUCUGCCACAAUGGGACUGAGACACGGCCCAUACUCCUACGGGAGGCAGCAGUAGGGAAUCUUCCACAAUGGACGAAAGUCUGAUGGAGCAACGCCGCGUGAGUGAAGAAGGGUUUCGGCUCGUAAAACUCUGUUGUUAGAGAAGAACAGCCGUGAGAGCAACUGCUCACGGUAUGACGGUAUCUAACCAGAAAGUCACGGCUAACUACGUGCCAGCAGCCGCGGUAAUACGUAGGUGGCAAACGUUGUCCGGAUUUAUUGGGCGUAAAGGGAGCGCAGGCGGUUUAUUAAGUCUGAUGUGAAAGCCUUCGGCUUAACCGGAGAAGUGCAUCGGAAACUGAUAAACUUGAGUGCAGAAAAGGAUAGUGGAACUUCAUGUGUAGCGGUGAAAUGCGUAGAUAUAUGAAGGAACACCAGUGGCGAAGGCGGCUAUCUGGUCUGUAACUGACGCUGAGGCUCGAAAGCAUGGGUAGCAAACAGGAUUAGAUACCCUGGUAGUCCAUGCCGUAACGAUGAAUGCUAGGUGUUGGAAGGUUUCCGCCUUUCAGUGCCGCAGCUAACGCAUUAAGCAUUCCGCCUGGGGAGUACGACCGCAAGGUUGAAACUCAAGGGAAUUGACGGGGACCGCACAAGCGGUGGAGCAUGUGGUUAAUUCGAUGCUACGC